This is a long non-coding RNA of Trichomycterus rosablanca, 413 nucleotides long. RefSeq lists it as uncharacterized. The transcript is spliced from 3 exons. The record is from RefSeq and is a predicted model, not a curated record. Lineage: Eukaryota; Metazoa; Chordata; Actinopteri; Siluriformes; Trichomycteridae.
CUAUAUGCCAAGUGGAGUACCCUUCUGACUGCAUUGAGAUGCAUGCUAGUUUAUGUGGAGAGAGGCCACUAGAGUCUCUGGACAUGACUGACAAAGAAGAGCACUUUAGUAUAUUGGAUAUUGAAGCAGGGGAAGGACCAUCUGGUACAACUUCCCAAAACAUACCUUUUCAGAAUGAGCCAGCUAAUUCAUCUGCAGAACUUUUUGAUAAUGCUGAAAAAGCAGAGGAAUGGAAGACUACACCAGACCCGGCGAGGGCAGCACGCUCGUACAGGGAAACUGUGCUCCACACUCAUGCAUCAGGGAAACCACUGCACUUGCAUGUUGAUCUCAGAAGCAUCAUCUCAGAACAAGAAAUGGCUUUGAUUGCUUUUUAUAAAGCAGGCAGCAUAGACUGGGCGAGGCCUCUUCAA